UACGAAGGGGGCUAGCGUUGCUCGGAAUCACUGGGCGUAAAGCGCACGUAGGCGGAUUGCUAAGUCAGGGGUGAAAUCCUGGAGCUCAACUCCAGAACUGCCUUUGAUACUGGCGAUCUUGAGUCCGGGAGAGGUGAGUGGAAUUCCUAGUGUAGAGGUGAAAUUCGUAGAUAUUAGGAAGAACACCAGUGGCGAAGGCGGCUCACUGGCCCGGUACUGACGCUCAUGUGCGAAAGCGUGGGGAGCAAACAGG
Molecule: ribosomal RNA, 253 nt
Filed under: uncultured bacterium
Lineage: Bacteria
Description: partial 16S ribosomal RNA
Rfam family: Bacterial small subunit ribosomal RNA
Source: RNAcentral